RNAcentral lists this ribosomal RNA (402 nucleotides) under Theileria ovis. RNAcentral describes it as "SSU rRNA". It matches the Rfam family "Eukaryotic small subunit ribosomal RNA", at positions 537 to 972 of the family's 1831-position model. The record is from RNAcentral. Lineage: Eukaryota; Apicomplexa; Aconoidasida; Piroplasmida; Theileriidae.
CAGAGUAUCAAUUGGAGGGCAAGUCUGGUGCCAGCAGCCGCGGUAAUUCCAGCUCCAAUAGCGUAUAUUAAAAUUGUUGCAGUUAAAAAGCUCGUAGUUGAAUUUCUGCUGCAUUGCUUUUGCUCCUUUACGAGUCUUUGCAUUGUGGCUUAUUUCGGACUUUGUUUUACAAUGUCCGGAUGUUUACUUUGAGAAAAUUAGAGUGCUCAAAGCAGGCUUUCGCCUUGAAUAGUUUAGCAUGGAAUAAUAAAGUAGGACUUUGGUUCUAUUUUGUUGGUUUUAGGUACCAAAGUAAUGGUUAAUAGGAACAGUUGGGGGCAUUCGUAUUUAACUGUCAGAGGUGAAAUUCUUAGAUUUGUUAAAGACGAACUACUGCGAAAGCAUUUGCCAAGGAUGUUUUCA